AUUCUUAUAGUUGAAUUACAACGGUGGUUUUUCAUACCAUUAGUCAUGGUUAAAUUCCAUGUGGGGAUA
This 69-nucleotide transfer RNA is filed under the name Spalacopus cyanus (coruro). Its description in RNAcentral is "tRNA-Glu". It matches the Rfam family "tRNA". Rfam says of the family: Transfer RNA (tRNA) molecules are approximately 80 nucleotides in length. Their secondary structure includes four short double-helical elements and three loops (D, anti-codon, and T loops). Lineage: Eukaryota; Metazoa; Chordata; Mammalia; Rodentia; Octodontidae. The record is from RNAcentral.